AUUGAACGCUGGCGGCAGGCCUAACACAUGCAAGUCGAGCGAGCGGCGGACGGGUGAGUAAUGUAUGGGGACUGCCCGAUAAAGGGGGAUAACUACUGGAAACGGUGGCUAAUACCGCAUACUAUCGGAUAACCCAUAUGGGAUUAGCUAGUUGGUGGGGUAAAGGCGAACCUAGGCGACGAUCUCCAGCUGGUCUGAGAGGAUGACCAGCCACACGGGGGCUGGGACACGGCCCAGACUCCUACGGAGGCAGCAGUGGGGAAUAUUGGACAAUGGGCGCAAGCCUGAAGCAGCCAUGCCGCGUGUAUGAAGAAGGCCUUAGGGUUGUAAAGUACUUUCAGCGGGGAGGCGUUACCCGCAGAGGAAGCACCGGCUAACUCCGUGCCAGCAGCCGCGGUAAUUC
This 403-nucleotide ribosomal RNA is filed under the name uncultured bacterium. Its description in RNAcentral is "partial 16S ribosomal RNA". It matches the Rfam family "Bacterial small subunit ribosomal RNA", at positions 29 to 526 of the family's 1533-position model. The record is from RNAcentral.